Carassius carassius (crucian carp) is the source of this 371-nucleotide long non-coding RNA. RefSeq lists it as uncharacterized. The transcript has 2 exons. Lineage: Eukaryota; Metazoa; Chordata; Actinopteri; Cypriniformes; Cyprinidae. The record is from RefSeq and is a predicted model, not a curated record.
GUAUAUUGUAGCGAAAUUGGAUGACUGAACAAAUUGUUAUUUUGAGUCGGAUCUUUUCAGUGAAUCAGAUGAUUCUGUUCACAAAGCGAGUCUGAAAGAAUCGUUCAUUAUUUAACUAUUAAUGAUAAUGACAAUUUUCUUUAUCAGACCUAUCUGACAACAUAAUUAAAAAGAUUAAUAAUUUGAUUCAGCUGGAGUGAACCAAAGAGUUCACUGAUGGAGUGAAAAUAAAUAGAUUCGUUCAUGACUGACAUUUUAUCAACAUGCAUACGAAGUUUAAAUAAAUUAGUUUUAUGAGAUGAACCAUAACUGCAACAAACUGAACUGGGACGCAUGAAUACACGUAUAAUAAACACUAUUAAAUCAUAAAA